AACGCACAUUGCGCCCGCCAGUAUUCUGGCGGGCAUGCCUGUUCGAGCGUCAUUUCAACCCUCAAGCUCUGCUUGGCGUUGGGGAUCGGCAUCCCGGCUUCGCGCCGCGCCGUCCCUCAAAUACAGUGGCGGUCACGCUGCAGCUUCCCUUGCGUAGUAGCACACCUCGCACCGGAGAGCAGCGCGGCCACGCCGUAAAACCCCCGACUUCUUGUUUUUGACCUCGAAUCAGGUAGGACUACCCGCUGAACUUAA
RNAcentral lists this unclassified non-coding RNA (255 nucleotides) under uncultured fungus. RNAcentral's name for it is "sequence contains ITS2". The stretch from base 1 to 52 matches the Rfam family "5.8S ribosomal RNA", at positions 103 to 154 of the family's 154-position model. Lineage: Eukaryota; Fungi. The record is from RNAcentral.